GAUGAACGCUGGCGGCGUGCUUAACACAUGCAAGUCGAACGGAAAGGCCCAAGCUUGCUUGGGUACUCGAGUGGCGAACGGGUGAGUAACACGUGGGUGAUCUGCCCUGCACUUCGGGAUAAGCCUGGGAAACUGGGUCUAAUACCGGAUAGGACCACUUCUUGGAUGUUGUGGUGGAAAGUUUUUCGGUGUGGGAUGAGCUCGCGGCCUAUCAGCUUGUUGGUGGGGUAAUGGCCUACCAAGGCGUCGACGGGUAGCCGGCCUGAGAGGGUGUACGGCCACAUUGGGACUGAGAUACGGCGCAGACGCCUACGGGAGGCAGCAGUGGGGAAUAGUGCACAAUGGGCGCAAGCCUGAUGCAGCGACGCCGCGUGGGGGAUGACGGCCUUCGGGUUGUAAACUCCUUUCGCUAGGGACGAAGCUUAUUUUGUGACGGUACCUGGAGAAGAAGCACCGGCUAACUACGUG
This 468-nucleotide ribosomal RNA is filed under the name uncultured bacterium. RNAcentral's name for it is "partial 16S ribosomal RNA". It matches the Rfam family "Bacterial small subunit ribosomal RNA", at positions 28 to 507 of the family's 1533-position model. The record is from RNAcentral.